Esox lucius (northern pike) is the source of this 1308-nucleotide long non-coding RNA. The record is from Ensembl. NCBI's taxonomy places the organism in Eukaryota, Metazoa, Chordata, Actinopteri, Esociformes, Esocidae.
GGACUAAAUAGGAAAUUGUGUGCCAUAUAACAUAGCACAUAUUCUUGCUGUCUGUUGUCACAUUCUCUUCCUCGGGGCAAAUCAGCUCCUGAUUCAUUCGUGUUAGGAGCAGAGGGCGACCCUGUAUGUCGGAUAGAAAAGCGUAUUUCUCCCAGUGAGCUGCUGGCUCUUCAGUAAGCAUAGUAGGCCUUAUUAUGGAGAAUAAAAAUGGGUCAAGCUCGGUAGUCCCCCCGGGCACCCUGGGGCCAUACCUCCAGAUUGGAACGAAGGUUUUGGAUAGCCUUGGGAGGGGGCAAUGAGAAGGAUGGGAUGAAUGGGAGGGAAAGAUCACAUUUACAAUGGAACAGGAGAAAUCGAGACUCAUCAGACCAGGCAACAUUCUUCCAGUCUUCAACUGUCCAAUUUUGAACACGUCACUGUUCUGCUUUAACUACUGCAGAACACUUCCACUACUGUUGAAGAUCCGGCAAAAGAGGGAAACGCUCAUUAGAAAAUACUAACUAGUUCCUGGCACCACACAGCUGCUGCCCCAUGUCCUCUCAUUAAAGGCUGUAUACCUUCCAGACUAAUGGCUGAUUACGGGCCCAUAACGGUCCUUCGUCCCUCCUUUGGGGUCGGAAUGGGACUCAUAAGCCCAAUUGUUGUGGAUUCAUUCAUGUUUUAGGGUAAUUUAUCAUGUUAAUUGUGUUUAUUAUGUACGGUUACAUGCAAGAUUCUUGGGUUCACACUAUAGACGGUACUCUCCAUAUCAGUAUAUGUGUAAUUUACAUAUUAUAUACUGCACCAGCAUUGGGUCAACGACCCGGGGGAGAACCCCCUGGCAUGUGGCUCAGCUGUUGUUUUAGAAAACACUUUGACUGCCAUGCCUUGAUGAGGUACACUAGCCCCCAAUCAGGGAGGAUAAAAGGGCCCUAGAAAAGCAGCUAUGGGCAACAGAGGAAGAAGGGAAGAGUAUGAUGCUGUACCCUGCUUUUGUUUUAUUCCUCUGUACCAUUUCUUUUAAUAAAACCCCCUUCAGAGCACCAGAACACAGAGGCACUGUGUCCAUUCCCUGUCUCUCCAAUACACACACAAACAAAUAAUAACACUUACUGUGUAAUAAAGGACAUAAAAGGGAUCAGUGUACUCAAUAUGUGUACCAGUUUUACUAGAUUGCUUUAUGGCCAAAAUGCUGAUGCCUUGCUGCUCUGCUCUUUAACUUUCCACCUAGUGCUCCUUCUCUCUAUAAAGUGUGGCUCACUAAAUAAAGGCUGGAGACAGUUUUACAAGGAGAGAGGAGAAGAGGAUGUGAAUGGCACACAGGGACGC